AGAGAGCGACGGGCGAUGUGUACACACUUCAGAGCUCAUUUCAUAUAAACCUUUUAUUUCUAUUUUACUACUAAAUCCACCUUCAUAAUAUUUAUACAAAUAUUAAUCUGUAAUAAAUUAAUUUUAUUGUAACCCACUACUCCCAUAUUCAUCGGCUGCACCUUGACCUGAUGUCACAGCAAUAAGCUAAUUAGAUAAUAUUUUUUAAAAAUAAUCUGACAACGGCGGUAUACAAACUGAAAACAAAAAUAUGUAAAUUUAAUCGUGGAAUAUCGAUUCAAGAGCAGGUUCCUCUAGUAAGAAUGAAGUACCGCCAAAUUCUUUAGGUUUAAAAAUAUCUCUACUACCCAGGCACUUAAUAAUAAAGAAUAAUAGGGUAUCUAAUCCUAGUCUAAACCUUUAUUUCAAAAGAUAUAAAGUUUUUUAUAAUUAUUAUAGUACAUAUUUAAAAAUUUCACCCUUAAAUAAAUAGUUAAAAAAUUAUUUUAAAAAAAACAAACUCUACUUAAUUCCACCAAAAGAUUUUAUUAGACCCCAUCGUAUAACC
RNAcentral lists this ribosomal RNA (547 nucleotides) under Lepidurus arcticus. Its description in RNAcentral is "partial 12S ribosomal RNA". Lineage: Eukaryota; Metazoa; Arthropoda; Branchiopoda; Notostraca; Triopsidae. The record is from RNAcentral.